This 515-nucleotide ribosomal RNA is filed under the name uncultured archaeon. RNAcentral describes it as "bacterial SSU rRNA". It matches the Rfam family "Archaeal small subunit ribosomal RNA", at positions 345 to 859 of the family's 1478-position model. The record is from RNAcentral.
AACCUUUACACUGCACGACAGUGCGAUAGGGGGACCCCGAGUGCGAGGGCAUAGAGCCCUCGCUUUUGUACACCGUAAGGUGGUGUACGAAUAAGAACUGGGCAAGACCGGUGCCAGCCGCCGCGGUAAUACCGGCAGUUCGAGUGAUGGCCGAUUUUAUUGGGCCUAAAGCGUUCGUAGCUGGCCGAUCAAGUCUGUCGGGAAAUCUGCUCGCCUAACGAGCAGGCGUCCGGCGGAAACUGAUCGGCUUGGGACCGGAAGACUCGAGGGGUACGUCCGGGGUAGGAGUGAAAUCCUGUAAUCCUGGACGGACCACCGAUGGCGGAAGCACCUCGAGAGCACGGAUCCGACAGUGAGGAACGAAAGCUGGGGUCUCGAACCGGAUUAGAUACCCGGGUAGUCCCAGCUGUCAACGAUGCCCGCUAGGUAUGGCGCAGGCUACGAGCCUGUGCUAUGCCGUAGCGAAGGCGCUAAGCGGGCCGCCUGGGAAGUACGUUCGCAAGAAUGAAACUUAA